Molecule: ribosomal RNA, 450 nt
Filed under: uncultured bacterium
Lineage: Bacteria
Description: partial 16S ribosomal RNA
Rfam family: Bacterial small subunit ribosomal RNA
Source: RNAcentral
GUGGGGAAUUUUGGACAAUGGGCGCAAGCCUGAUCCAGCCAUUCCGCGUGCAGGAUGAAGGCCUUCGGGUUGUAAACUGCUUUUGUACGGAACGAAAAGCCUCUGGUUAAUACCCGGGGGUCAUGACGGUACCGUAAGAAUAAGCACCGGCUAACUACGUGCCAGCAGCCGCGGUAAUACGUAGGGUGCGAGCGUUAAUCGGAAUUACUGGGAGUAAAGCGUGCGCAGGCGGUGAUGUAAGACAGUUGUGAAAAGCCCGGGCUCUACCUGGGAACUGCAUCUGUGACUGCAUUGCUGGAGUGCGGCAGAGUGGAAUGGAAUUCCGCGUGUAGCAGUGAAAUGCGUAGAUAUGCGGAGGAACACCGAUGGCGAAGGCAAUCCCCUGGGCCUGCAAUGACGCUCAUGCACGAAAGCGUGGGGAGCAAACAGGAUUAGAACCCCCAGUAGUCC